This 466-nucleotide ribosomal RNA is filed under the name uncultured bacterium. RNAcentral describes it as "partial 16S ribosomal RNA". It matches the Rfam family "Bacterial small subunit ribosomal RNA", at positions 28 to 507 of the family's 1533-position model. The record is from RNAcentral.
GAUGAACGCUGGCGGCGUGCUUAACACAUGCAAGUCGAACGGAAAGGCUCCUGCUUGCAGGGGUACUCGAGUGGCGAACGGGUGAGUAACACGUGGGUGAUCUGCCCUGCACUUCGGGAUAAGCCUGGGAAACUGGGUCUAAUACCGGAUAGGACGAUGUUUUGGAUGCCAUUGUGGAAAGUUUUUUCGGUGUGGGAUGAGCUCGCGGCCUAUCAGCUUGUUGGUGGGGUAAUGGCCUACCAAGGCGUCGACGGGUAGCCGGCCUGAGAGGGUGUACGGCCACAUUGGGACUGAGAUAGGGCCCAGACUCCUACGGGAGGCAGCAGUGGGGAAUAUUGCACAAUGGGCGCAAGCCUGAUGCAGCGACGCCGCGUGGGGGAUGACGGCCUUCGGGUUGUAAACUCCUUUCGAUAGGGACGAAGCGAAAGUGACGGUACCUGGAGAAGAAGCACCGGCUAACUACGUG